UAUUACAAUGAAGAGUUUGAUCCUGGCUCAGGAUGAACGCUAGCUACAGGCUUAACACAUGCAAGUCGAGGGGCAGCAUGGUCUUAGCUUGCUAAGGCCGAUGGCGACCGGCGCACGGGUGAGUAACACGUAUCCAACCUGCCGUCUACUCUUGGACAGCCUUCUGAAAGGAAGAUUAAUACAAGAUGGCAUCAUGAGUCCGCAUGUUCACAUGAUUAAAGGUAUUCCGGUAGACGAUGGGGAUGCGUUCCAUUAGAUAGUAGGCGGGGUAACGGCCCACCUAGUCUUCGAUGGAUAGGGGUUCUGAGAGGAAGGUCCCCCACAUUGGAACUGAGACACGGUCCAAACUCCUACGGGAGGCAGCAGUGAGGAAUAUUGGUCAAUGGGCGAGAGCCUGAACCAGCCAAGUAGCGUGAAGGAUGACUGCCCUAUGGGUUGUAAACUUCUUUUAUAAAGGAAUAAAGUCGGGUAUGCAUACCCGUUUGCAUGUACUUUAUGAAUAAGGAUCGGCUAACUCCGUGCCAGCAGCCGCGGUAAUACGGAGGAUCCGAGCGUUAUCCGGAUUUAUUGGGUUUAAAGGGAGCGUAGAUGGAUGUUUAAGUCAGUUGUGAAAGUUUGCGGCUCAACCGUAAAAUUGCAGUUGAUACUGGAUAUCUUGAGUGCAGUUGAGGCAGGCGGAAUUCGUGGUGUAGCGGUGAAAUGCUUAGAUAUCACGAGGAACUCCGAUUGCGAAGGCAGCCUGCUAAGCUGCAACUGACAUUGAGGCUCGAAAGUGUGGGUAUCAAACAGGAUUAGAUACCCUGGUAGUCCACACGGUAAACGAUGAAUACUCGCUGUUUGCGAUAUACGGCAAGCGGCCAAGCGAAAGCGUUAAGUAUUCCACCUGGGGAGUACGCCGGCAACGGUGAAACUCAAAGGAAUUGACGGGGGCCCGCACAAGCGGAGGAACAUGUGGUUUAAUUCGAUGAUACGCGAGGAACCUUACCCGGGCUUAAAUUGCAGAUGAAUUACGGUGAAAGCCGUAAGCCGCAAGGCAUCUGUGAAGGUGCUGCAUGGUUGUCGUCAGCUCGUGCCGUGAGGUGUCGGCUUAAGUGCCAUAACGAGCGCAACCCUUGUUGUCAGUUACUAACAGGUUCUGCUGAGGACUCUGACAAGACUGCCAUCGUAAGAUGUGAGGAAGGUGGGGAUGACGUCAAAUCAGCACGGCCCUUACGUCCGGGGCUACACACGUGUUACAAUGGGGGGUACAGAGGGCCGCUACCACGCGAGUGGAUGCCAAUCCCAAAAACCUCUCUCAGUUCGGACUGGAGUCUGCAACCCGACUCCACGAAGCUGGAUUCGCUAGUAAUCGCGCAUCAGCCACGGCGCGGUGAAUACGUUCCCGGGCCUUGUACACACCGCCCGUCAAGCCAUGGGAGCCGGGGGUACCUGAAGUGCGUAACCGCGAGGAGCGCCCUAGGGUAAAACUGGUGACUGGGGCUAAGUCGUAACAAGGUAGCCGUACCGGAAG
This 1510-nucleotide ribosomal RNA is filed under the name Phocaeicola vulgatus ATCC 8482. RNAcentral's name for it is "bacterial SSU rRNA". It matches the Rfam family "Bacterial small subunit ribosomal RNA". The record is from RNAcentral. Lineage: Bacteria; Pseudomonadati; Bacteroidota; Bacteroidia; Bacteroidales; Bacteroidaceae.